UUGGAGGGCAAGUCUGGUGCCAGCAGCCGCGGUAAUUCCAGCUCCAAUAGCGUAUAUUAAAGUUGUUGCAGUUAAAAAGCUCGUAGUUGAAUUUCGGGAUCAGCAUGUCGGUCGUGCCUCUGGUACGUACUGGUAUCGUUGAUUUCUACCUUCUGACGAACCGUGAUGUCAUUAAUUUGGUGUCAUGGGAAAUCAGGACUGUUACUUUGAAAAAAUUAGAGUGUUUAAAGCAGGCACACGCUUGAAUACAUUAGCAUGGAAUAAUGAAAUAGGACGUUUGACCCUAUUUUGUUGGUUUCUAGGAUCGACGUAAUGAUUAGUAGGGAUAGUUGGGGGCAUUAGUAUUCAAUUGUCAGAGGUGAAAUUCUUGGAUUUAUUGAAGACUGACUACUGCGAAAGCAUUUGCCAAGGAUGUUUUCAUUAAUCAAGAACGAAAGUUAGGGGAUCGAAGACGAUCAGAUACCGUCGUAGUCUUAACCAUAAACUAUGCCGACUAGGGAUCGGAUGAUGUUAAUUUUUUAAUGACUCAUUCGGCGCCUUACGGGAAAC
RNAcentral lists this ribosomal RNA (549 nucleotides) under uncultured Glomeromycotina. Its description in RNAcentral is "SSU rRNA". It matches the Rfam family "Eukaryotic small subunit ribosomal RNA", at positions 548 to 1098 of the family's 1831-position model. The record is from RNAcentral. Lineage: Eukaryota; Fungi; Glomeromycota.